This is a small nucleolar RNA of Sorex araneus (European shrew), 131 nucleotides long. RefSeq annotates it as small nucleolar RNA SNORA70. NCBI's taxonomy places the organism in Eukaryota, Metazoa, Chordata, Mammalia, Eulipotyphla, Soricidae. The transcript has a single exon. The record is from RefSeq and is a predicted model, not a curated record.
CUUCAGCCAAGUAAGUGGACUGUGCUCUUUCUCCCUGUGGGGCCAUGUGCAGAAGCUGAGAGAGUGGUUGCUUGGCACCGUCCACAGCCUAUGGCUUGUAUAGGCAGAUCUAAGGGGCCCUGAAGACAGUC